RNAcentral lists this unclassified non-coding RNA (247 nucleotides) under Hevea brasiliensis (rubber tree). The record is from RNAcentral. Lineage: Eukaryota; Viridiplantae; Streptophyta; Magnoliopsida; Malpighiales; Euphorbiaceae.
AAGAAGAGAGAUGGUUAGCGUCGUACUGAUUCAGUUGGAACUUAAAUGUGGUGUUGUCGAUACGACAAGAGAAAAAAUUCAUUGUACUAAUGUUUGUGCACUAGAAUUCAAAGCUGUGAUGUAAAACUAGAUGUUGUACAGCAUUUCUGGUAGGUUGAUUUUUCCAAAUAUUGACAAUACAGUUGUUUUUUCCCCUUUUUUGGGGGUGGGGUGGGGGUUCAAGUGUUGAGCUUCAGUUUUUUUCUUU